GCCUGGGUGGCUCAGUCGGUUGAGCGGCCGACUUCAGCUCGGGUCAUGAUCUCGCGGUCCGUGAGUUCGAGCCCCGCGUCGGGCU
This is a non-coding RNA of Felis catus (domestic cat), 85 nucleotides long. The record is from Rfam. NCBI's taxonomy places the organism in Eukaryota, Metazoa, Chordata, Mammalia, Carnivora, Felidae.